AAAGGGCUGCAGUAUAUUGACUGUACAAAGGUAGCAUAAUAAAUAGUUUUUUAAUUGAUGACUUGUAUGAAAGAUUGGAUGAAAUAUAAACUGUCUCUUAUUUAAUUAAUUAAUUUAAUUUUUUGAUUAAAAAGUCAAAAUUUAUUUAAAAGACGAGAAGACCCUAUAGAGUUUUAUAUUAAUAUAUAAUAAAAUUAUUUUUUAGAUUAUUAAUUAAAUUAUUUAAUAUAUUUUAUUGGGGUGAUAAAAAAAUAAAAUUAACUUUUUUUAAUAUUAUUUCAUAGAUAAGUGAGUAAUUGAUCCAAAAUUUUUGAUUAUAAGAAAAAAUUACCUUAGGGAUAACAGCGUAAUUUUUUUUUUUAGUUCAAAUAAGAAAAAGAGUUUGCGACCUCGAUGUUGGAUUAAGAUAAAAUUUAUAUGCAAAAGUAUAAAA
RNAcentral lists this ribosomal RNA (433 nucleotides) under Ostrinia furnacalis (Asian corn borer). Its description in RNAcentral is "partial 16S ribosomal RNA". Lineage: Eukaryota; Metazoa; Arthropoda; Insecta; Lepidoptera; Crambidae. The record is from RNAcentral.